This is a long non-coding RNA of Ictalurus punctatus (channel catfish), 2357 nucleotides long. The record is from Ensembl. Lineage: Eukaryota; Metazoa; Chordata; Actinopteri; Siluriformes; Ictaluridae.
AAUAUUAGUGGAGGGCACUGUAGGUGCGCAACAAUUAUUGGCACCCCUAUGAAUUCAUAUGAGAGUAUGUUCCUAUUGAUAUUUUACAUUUUUUAGUACACCUGGGUGACUAGGAACAGGAAACCGUUCAAGCAUGAUGUCCUGUUUCACAGGGGUAUAAAUACAGUGAGGGAAAAAAGUAUUUGAUCCCCUACUGAUUUUGUACGUUUGCUCACUGACAAAGAAAUUAUCAUUCUAUAAUUUUAAUGGUAGAUUUAUUUGAACAGUGAGAGACAGAAUAACAACAACGAAAAAAAUCCAGAAAAACGCAUGUCAAAAAUGUUAUAAAUUGAUUUGCAUUUUAAUGAGGGAAAUAAGUAUUUGACCCCUCUGCAAAACAAGACUUAGUACUUGGUGGCAAAACCCUUGUUGGCAAUCACAGAGGUCAGACGUUUCUUGUAGUUGGCCACCAGGUUUGCACACAUCUCAGGAGGGAUUUUGUCCCACUCCUCUUUGCAGAGCUUCUCCAAGUCAUUAAGGCAACUCAAACCUUCAGCUCCCUCCACAGAUUUUCUAUGGGAUUAAGGUCUGGAGACUGGCUAGGCCGCUCCAGGACCUUAAUGUGCUUCUUCUCGAGCCACUCCUUUGUUGCCUUGGCCAUGUGUUUUGGGUCAUUGUCAUGCUGGAAUACCCAUCCACGACCAUUUUCAAUGCCCUGGCUGAGGGAAGGAGGUUCUCACCCAAGAUUUGACGGUACAUGACCCCGUCCAUCGUCCCUUUGAUGCGGUGAAGUUGUCCUGUCCCCUUAGCAGAAAAACACCCCCAAAGCAUAAUGUUUCCACCUCCAUGUUUGACGGUGGGGAUGGUGUUCUUGGGGUCAUAGGCAGCAUUCCUCCUCCUCCAAACACGGCGAGUUGAGUUGAUGCCACAGAGCUCCAUUUUGGUCUCAUCUGACCACAACACUUUCACCCAGUUGUCCUCUGAAUCAUUCAAAUGUUCACUGGCAAACUUCAGACGGGCAUGUAUAUGUGCUUUCUUGAGCAGCGGACCUUGCGGGCGCUGCAGGAUUUCAGUCCUUCACGGCGUAGUGUGUUACCAAUUGUUUUCUUGGUGACUAUAUGAAGCGAUUAUUGACCCAGGCGAACAGUAACUGGUAAGUGUUUCUUUCUGGAUUUUUUAGUUGAAACUAGUUUUAGCACCGAUUGUCAGAUAGAAGCUGUAACUGUGCUCCCUUGUUGCUACGAGCUAUACACUUGUUGCUAGAUUAAAGCAAAUUCCGGUAUUCAGUUUCGGUUUCGGUCGGGAGUCGCUCAUUCACACGACUACUCUUUUUGUUUUGCUAAUUAAAGAGGCAUGCUCAGAAACACAUCAGUAUUUAUUAAUUAAGAAACGCUGAGGCGGAAGCGUCAGCCCUUGUCGUGUGAAGACCGAGCUCGUGUAAAGACCUGCGAAUCUACCUGUGCGAGUCCACCGAGCAAGGACACCGACAAGACACCACACAUGCUGCUAAGUAUACUUUUUCUCCCUUUAUUCCUCUUACUUUUACCUGUUUCCACACACUAACGUGUCAUCCGUUCAUCCCUGUUAUUUGCCACAGGCGCAGACCGUGGCAUUCUCCCAGAAACGUACGCAACUUGGACAACCUACGCUCUCUGAAUGCGGCCUCUGCAGGUUCCAUCUCAUUCUCAGUCAGACAUUGGAACUGCCAAUCUGCUGUCAACAAGGCAGAUUUCAUUUCUGCAUUUGCAAUCCACUCCAAUCUCAGCGUGCUGGCUCUGACUGAGACCUGGAUCCAUGCUGAGAACACUGCCACACCCGCUGCCCUGGCCUCCAAAUUCAACUUCUCCCAUACCUCACGCCCCAACAGACGAGGGGGUGGUACAGGUCAACUGGGGAAGUUCAUAGAUGAAUUUGACACGCUACUGUCCACCAUCCCAGAUGAUGGAACUCCUCUUCUGGUCCUUGGUGAUUUCAACAUUCAUGUAGACAAGCCACAUGCAGCUGACUUUCUUGCUCUCCUUCCCACAUUCGACCUCAAUCAGUUCACCACACCAGCAACCCACAAAGCCGGUAAACAGCUUGACCUCAUCCUCACACGUAAUUGCACCACACAUAAUCUUCUCAUUACUCCUCUCCACACCUCUGACCAUUUCUUUAUCCAGUUCUCUAUUUCUCUCCCCUCACCACCAUAAAUGUCUCCUCCCUCUAUCUCUUUUCGUCGCAAUCUUCGCUCCCUUUCCCCCUCACAUUUCUCCUCCGUUGUCACAACCUUACUUCCCUCCGAAAGCCACCUUUCUUCACUUGACUUAAACACCGCAACCGACAUGCUAUGUUCCACUCUAACAUCUUCUCUUGACAGCAUAUGUCCCCUAACCUCC